GCUGUCCAUUGUAAGAUGGAAAUGAUACAUCUGGGAUCCAGCCCAAGUCGGAUCAGAAGGCAAAAAGCCCACUGGAAUGCUGGAGUUGCAUGCAGAGCUUAUAAAAAAAAGUGGAUCUAAUUGGUACAGGGAUGGACCAUAGCAGAUGUUGUGAUAUGCCAUCUGGAUCCUGCUUCAAGACUGAAAGACUUAUGCCCCCCACCCCCCCUGGGUGUUCUGCUGGUCAGUAGCCUUCAGUUAUCAGCACUUUUUUGGGUAAUUGCCCUUGGCUGAAGAAAGUUACCUUGCCCAACGUCACUGGCUUCCAGAACAGUCCUCAUUCCAUGAGUGAUUAUCUCUGGAGUGAUAAUUAAGAAACAGAUAAUAGUGGUUGCCUCUGGGAAGGACAGCUGGGAACUGAGGACUGAGCCAACAGAAGCGUAGGCAAGGCUGGGGUGCGGUGUGUCUUGGGAGCGAUGCACCCCUCAUCUCAUCCCAGAAUCUACCCAUGACUUUGAAGGUGAUAACUUCAAUCAGUGCGCCUCCUCUUCAAUUCCUCCUUCUCCGAAGCAGAUUUUUAUAGAGUUCCCAUGACACACCUUGUUCCAGAAACUCCAGAUACAGUGAUGAAUAAGACAGAAAAGAUGUCUUUGUUCACAGAGCUGUUAAAAUAGAGGGGCCCAUUGUUUCCAGAGAAUUGACCGGGAUCACCCUUAACGCUAAAGGCAUGAGGAAAAAAAAAGUUGAAAAUAAAUGAUAGAUAU
Suricata suricatta (meerkat) is the source of this 743-nucleotide long non-coding RNA. RefSeq lists it as uncharacterized. The record is from RefSeq and is a predicted model, not a curated record. The transcript has 6 exons. NCBI's taxonomy places the organism in Eukaryota, Metazoa, Chordata, Mammalia, Carnivora, Herpestidae.